Molecule: ribosomal RNA, 434 nt
Filed under: uncultured Lachnospiraceae bacterium
Lineage: Bacteria; Bacillati; Bacillota; Clostridia; Lachnospirales; Lachnospiraceae
Description: partial 16S ribosomal RNA
Rfam family: Bacterial small subunit ribosomal RNA
Source: RNAcentral
ACGGGAGGCAGCAGUGGGGGAUAUUGCACAAUGGAGGAAACUCUGAUGCAGCAACGCCGCGUGAGUGAAGAAGUAUUUCGGUAUGUAAAGCUCUAUCAGCAGGGAAGAAAAUGACGGUACCUGACUAAGAAGCUCCGGCUAAAUACGUGCCAGCAGCCGCGGUAAUACGUAUGGAGCAAGCGUUAUCCGGAUUUACUGGGUGUAAAGGGAGCGUAGACGGCAAAGCAAGUCUGAAGUGAAAUCUAUGGGCUCAACCCAUAAACUGCUUUGGAAACUGUUUAGCUAGAGUGCAGGAGAGGUAAGUGGAAUUCCUAGUGUAGCGGUGAAAUGCGUAGAUAUUAGGAGGAACACCAGUGGCGAAGGCGGCUUACUGGACUGUAACUGACGUUGAGGCUCGAAAGCGUGGGGGGCAAACAGGAUUAGAUACCCUGGUA